CACCGCAGGGGGUGCCGUGUAAAUAUUUGCUGUUACCAAUAUUGCCACCUGUUAGAAUAGACUCUCCUGGGGCACCGGCGGGGUCAGAGGGCACGGUCCACGUUGCCAGACUCCCCGCAGGGCGCCGGCCAAGCUGUUUCCCACUGUUUCGCCUGCAACCACGAAGUGAGUCUCUUUGAUUUUCGCCUUCUCAGAGGAGAAUAGUGGGAUCCCAGUGAGGUUUUUAAUUUGCAUUGAUUUUCUAAUGAGCGCGGUUAAACAGUCUUUCAGGAGGACUCUGCGGUUUCUGGAGCCGCUGCAGGAUUCUCCUCUGGGAGAUGUGGUCCUGGCGGGGGAGAGCCCGGCAUGGCGGGGAAGGUGGCGCCUUGAGACCCAGGGAGCGAGAAGCAGCGAGGAAGCCAGCGUUUCGGGUUGUGGAGCGUGCCCUGAACCUCGGUGUUUCGGGACUGAAUAAUCUGCCAACUAGGGACUGAAGAUGCUUCUCUAAUAAGAUUUCUGAGAACCCGAGAAGGCAGUUCAUUCCUUCAUCCAUCAAAUAUGGACAGCUCACGGGUAUUGAGCGUGUCCUGUGCCCCAGGUCCUGUCCAGAGGGUUACAACCGUGGGAACUCCGGAAAUCGGUAUCCCAAAUCUACGAGGGCGGUGUACGAUUGUACAGCUGGGGAAACUCCAGACUCAGAGAGGUGAAGUCACUGACCAAAGGUCACACAGCGAGUAAGCAGUAGUCAGGACUUGAACGGUCUGACCCUGCUAAUCCAUUCGGUCAUGGUUACUGAGUGCCCGUCAGGAGAACAGCAGGGUUCUAGGCACCGGAGACAGGAAGGAGAAGGAGACAGAGAUCCCUACCUUGGAAGCACUGACCUUCCAAUAGGAAGCACUCGCAUCCCAGGAGAGGGGCUGACGUCUCAGGGGGAGAGGCUGACAUCCCAGGGGGAGAGGCUGACAUCCCAGGGGAGAGGCUGACAUCCCAGGGGGAGGGGCUGACGUCUCAGGGGGAGGGGCCGACAUUCCCUACCCUAAGACCCCACAGCCUCCGCCUCCCCACCAUACUCUGUCCCUAUGAGUACUGACUGAGCUCCUCGCAGGCACACAUCUCUGUCACCCCUGGGAUCCCAGCGCGCCUGACAGGAACGAGCCUCUGCCCUCGCGGAGGCCGCAGCCCGGGGAAGACAGGCCCGAACGGGAGGAUCCACAGAGAGACGCUCACCUCCCAGGCAGGAGGGCGGCAGUUCACAGGUGGGGAAACCGAGGCCGGUGCUCAGACCUGCGUGGUGGCCCCUAUGCUUUCCAGCUCAGGCUGCCAGCUCCCGCUCAGACACCCCAGAAGACAGCUGCCCCCCACCUGCCGGCGAGCUCAGGACAACGAGGGAACGGAGCAGUGGAUCUCCACAUCUGAGCCUCAGUUUCUCCACCUGCAUGGUGGAGCCGUUAAGAGGAGCCAACUCGUCGGGCUCGGCACAGCAUGGAGCCCGCCAUCCUUCAAGGACACGGGCUUCCUGAGAGAAUGGAGAAGGGCCGUGGGAGUGAAGGGCGUGAGACUGGAGAGGGGCUGGUUCCGGCAGCGGGAGCCGCGGACCGACGGGAAAAUGGGCCAGCACCGCCCCCGCGUGGCGGCUCCGAGUUCUGCACCCGGGGCUUCCCGCGAGGGAGACCGUCCUCUGUCCACACGCAGGAGGAGGGACCAGGGCGUCUGCAACCCUCCAGCGAAAGUUCCAGCGACGCCGUGAGUCCGUUCCUAACGGACGUUCGCGACGCCUUCCCCGGAAAACGCAAGAGUUCCCGUCAUCCUCUUCAGAAGCUGCCUUUUCGGAUCGUGAGCGAAAUGAAAUUGUUUCUCAUCAGAUGAGAAACUUACACAUUCCAUUCACGUCUUUGAUCUCGGGCCGGCCUUGCCGUGGCCUCUGGGGCCCAUUGGACAGAGAUUUUCACUGUUGUCUGGCCGAGAAGAAAACCGGGGCUCAGAGAGAAGGAACGGAUCUGAAGUACCCAGCAGUCCGUAGGCCGGAGUCACGGUCCGGGGCGAAGGCCGGGCUCUGGGAUUGGGGAAUCCUGUGUCUUCUCAUUGCUGAGCCUGAGAGGAAGAGAGACAGAGACACACAGAGACAUGAGCGAGAAAGAGAGACCAAGACGAUAAAGUGGGGACCAAAGAGACAGACCCAGCCCGCCACCGCCGCCCUCUUCCCACUCACCUUGUUGAAGAAGUAGAUGGAGGCGAGGAUGGUGAAUACGGCCAUGGCCAGGGUUACAUUCUGGGGGGAGGGUUCAGAGGUCAGGGCCCACCCCUCCCUCCCUCCCCUCCCCCCUAGGCCUCCCCCACCACCGCUGGACCCCUCCUCACUUCCUGAAAGUUCAUGGCCAUGGGGACUGAGCCACACGCGUUCAUUCACGUGACCUCUCUCUCCCUUUCCUGGGUCUCUGAGCUAGAGAGGGGAGACAAGCCACCAGAACCUGAGAGGGGUUGUCUGGGAGACCAGAAUGGUGGCCAUGGUGACAAGAGAAAGGCAUUCUGGGUAGAGGGGACCUUGGGGCAGAGGCUUGGGGGAGAAGAGGAAUUGGAUGCAGAAUGUCACAUGCAGUAUCUGAAUUUGGGAUUGGGACAUUUGAGAUGGGACAGCCCAGACCUCCAACACCAUUCCGAGCAGUUUGUCUCCCCUGAGGGUGCUUGGGAGCCAUGGCGGGGCUGUGAGCAGGGGAGGCAGCAGUCAGCUCUUAGUGCCAGAAAUAUCCCGGAGCAGGAGGAGGGUGAGGCUGGAAGAGAAGGUGAGGUGGCCCAGGCCGAAUUUCCGCCAGCAGCGUCUGCCAGAGCAAAGUUAAGAGACACGGCGCUGGCUAGACUGGGCAUCCCAGCGCCUGGUCACCAGCUGUGGGGGUGGGAGUGGCAGUUCUAAUGGUAGAAACCGUGGUAGUGGCAGCAGCUUCCAGCGGUCCCUGACUUUUACUCCGCCAGCCCUCCUGUUACUUUUGCAGAUACUUCUUUUUGUCCGUCACGCCUUUAGAAUUAACGUCCAGAUUACCAGAAACACAGGAGAGAGAAACAAGUACAGUCGACCCUCUCUACCCGCGGAUUCCAUCUUUGCGAAUUCGCCUGUUCGCUAAAAGUUAUUUGUAACCGCCCAAUGAAGACUCGCGGCGUUCUCGCGAUCAUUCGCGGACAUGCGCAGAGCGGCUAAACUUUGGAGUCGGUGGAUGCGCGCAUCCCCAGCUGAGGUCAGACAAGGUGGUGCUCUGCCCUCCUGUCCCAGCUCUCAGCAGAGAGACGCCCAGAGAGGGUGCCUGGAGUGGGGCGCUGCUGUGCGGGGAGCUCCCACCCUGGGGCCAGCGGGAGGCGUUUGAAUCCCAGCUCUGGUACCUGUGAGUGGGGCGGCCUCAGGCAAAGUUUCCAGUUUGUAAAAUAAAGAAAAUUGAAUUUCCGUGGAUGAGUAGUUCUUAGGAUUUAAGAUUAUAAUCUAUGUGAGAGACAUAUACAUAUAGAUUUUUAUAUAUAUACUUUUUUUCUUUUUUUUUUGGUGAGGAAGAUUGUCACUGAGCUAACAUCUGUGCCAAUCUUCAUCUGUCCUAUGUGGGACGCCUCCGCAGCAUGGCUUGACGAGCGGUGCUAGGUCCACACCCGGGAUCCCAAACUGCGAACCCCAGGCCAGCAAAGCGGAGCACAGGAACUUUAACCCCUAUGCCACCAGCGGGCCCCUCUGGGGUCUCUUGCAUAAGGGCACUAAUCCCAUUCCUGAGGGCUCCACCCUCAUGACCUCAUCACCCCCCAAGGCCACGCCUCCUAAGACCAUCACAUGGUGGGUCAGGAUUUCAAG
Long non-coding RNA from Equus caballus (horse), 3802 nucleotides. The record is from Ensembl. NCBI's taxonomy places the organism in Eukaryota, Metazoa, Chordata, Mammalia, Perissodactyla, Equidae.